UAUCUCUGUAGAGUCUGCAUAUCAAUAAGCGGAGGAAAAGAAACUAACAAGGAUUCCCUUAGUAACGGCGAGUGAAGCGGGAAGAGCUCAAAUUUGAAAUCUUCAAGGUUUUACCUUGACGAAUUGUAGUUUAAAGAAGUGUUUUCUGUUGGAGUUUCGGUAAAAGUUCUUUGGAAUAGGACAUCAUAGAGGGUGAGAAUCCCGUAUUUGACCAUUAUUUUCAGCUGUGUGAUACACUUUCAAAGAGUUGGAUUGUUAGGGAAUGCAGUCCAAAAUGGGUGGUAAAUUUCAUCUAAAGCUAAAUAUUGGCGAGAGACCGAUAGCGAACAAGUACCGUGAGGGAAAGAUGAAAAGAACUUUGAAAAGAGAGUUAAACAGUACGUGAAAUUGUCAAAAGGGAAGCGUUUGACACCAGUGUUGUUUUCUCGAAAAUCAAUUAAAAAUGGCUGAUUUUGUGUUGUAUUGACCUUAAAAGCUUUCUUCACUUUUUUCAUGUCUUUUUUAAUGCACUUUUCGUUUAACAAGUCAACAUCAGUUUCUUUUGUUGUAAAAAGGUCAUUGGAAGGUGGCUUUCUUUUCGGAGAAAGUGUUUAUAGCCUUUGACUCCUGCAAUCGGAGAGACUGAGGUCUGCAGCGUAGAUCCUUCUUGGAUUAGAUUCAUUUGUGCUAAGUUAUAGCUUUUCAUAGACAACUUGUUGACUAUGUUUUAGUCAUUGUAGCUUACUCGCUUAUGUAAUUUUACCUACGCUUAGGAUGUUGAUCUCUCACAGUCGAGC
RNAcentral lists this ribosomal RNA (776 nucleotides) under uncultured Neocallimastigales. RNAcentral describes it as "partial large subunit ribosomal RNA". It matches the Rfam family "Eukaryotic large subunit ribosomal RNA", at positions 24 to 645 of the family's 3401-position model. The record is from RNAcentral. Lineage: Eukaryota; Fungi; Neocallimastigomycota; Neocallimastigomycetes; Neocallimastigales.